UAGUAGUACGGAAUAAUUGUUGGAAACGGCAACUAAUACCGUAUACGCCCUACGGGGGAAAAAUUUAUUGCUAUUAGAUGAGCCUAUAUUAGAUUAGCUAGUUGGUGGAGUAAUAGCCUACCAAGGCAAUGAUCUAUAGCUGAUCUGAGAGGAUGAUCAGCCACACUGGAACUGAGAUACGGUCCAGACUCCUACGGGAGGCAGCAGUGGGGAAUAUUGGACAAUGGGCGAAAGCCUGAUCCAGCCAUGCCGCAUGAGUGAAGAAGGCCUUUGGGUUGUAAAGCUCUUUUAGUGAGGAAGAUAAUGACGGUACUCACAGAAGAAGUCCUGGCUAACUCCGUGCCAGCAGCCGCGGUAAUACGGAGAGGGCUAGCGUUAUUCGGAAUUAUUGGGCGUAAAGGGCGCGUAGGCUGAUUAAUAAGUUAAAAGUGAAAUCCCGAGGCUUAACCUUGGAAUUGCUUUUAAAACUAUUAAUCUAGAGAUUGAAAGAGGAUAGAGGAAUUCCUGAUGUAGAGGUAAAAUUCGUAAAUAUUAGGAGGAACACCAGUGGCGAAGGCGUCUAUCUGGUUCAAAUCUGACGCUGAAGCGCGAAGGCGUGGAGAGCAAACAGGAUUAGAUACCCUGGUAGUCCACGCUGUAAAC
RNAcentral lists this ribosomal RNA (642 nucleotides) under Wolbachia endosymbiont of Balloniscus glaber. RNAcentral describes it as "bacterial SSU rRNA". It matches the Rfam family "Bacterial small subunit ribosomal RNA", at positions 131 to 807 of the family's 1533-position model. Lineage: Bacteria; Pseudomonadati; Pseudomonadota; Alphaproteobacteria; Rickettsiales; Anaplasmataceae. The record is from RNAcentral.